RNAcentral lists this unclassified non-coding RNA (201 nucleotides) under Hevea brasiliensis (rubber tree). Lineage: Eukaryota; Viridiplantae; Streptophyta; Magnoliopsida; Malpighiales; Euphorbiaceae. The record is from RNAcentral.
UUUGUUUGGUUACGAAGUGAAUAUAUAUUUUAUCAUUGUAUAAUUAUAAACUCUAAAAUUGUUAAGGAAUUCCUAUGUUAGAAGCUACUUCAGGGAUUAUUUGGGGGAUUCAACUACCCUAGGGCUCUUCCAUGAAAACUGAUGCAAAGCUGUUGUGUAAAUAAAAGACACGGUGGUGUUUUGAUUAAAAUGAAUAACUGA